AUCGCUUCUCAGCCUUUUGGCUAAGAUCAAGUCUAUUUUUUUAUUUUUAAUUUUGUUUUAUUUUAUUGGUACUUGGCAUCAAACUUGGGACCUUGUGCUUGCAAGGCAGGUGGCAGCAGGUGAGCUAAAUCCCCA
This 135-nucleotide small nuclear RNA is filed under the name Fukomys damarensis (Damara mole-rat). RNAcentral's name for it is "U2 spliceosomal RNA". It matches the Rfam family "U2 spliceosomal RNA". Rfam says of the family: U2 is a small nuclear RNA (snRNA) component of the spliceosome (involved in pre-mRNA splicing). Lineage: Eukaryota; Metazoa; Chordata; Mammalia; Rodentia; Bathyergidae. The record is from Rfam by way of RNAcentral.